This 97-nucleotide ribosomal RNA is filed under the name Triportheus auritus. The record is from RNAcentral. Lineage: Eukaryota; Metazoa; Chordata; Actinopteri; Characiformes; Triportheidae.
UACGCCCGAUCUCGUCCGAUCUCGGAAGCUAAGCAGGGUCGGGCUUGGUUAGUACUUGGAUGGGAGACCGCCUGGGAAUACCAGGUGCUGUAAGCUU